RNAcentral lists this long non-coding RNA (804 nucleotides) under Zostera marina. RNAcentral describes it as "long non-coding RNA (ZMAR_LNC002570)". Lineage: Eukaryota; Viridiplantae; Streptophyta; Magnoliopsida; Alismatales; Zosteraceae. The record is from RNAcentral.
ACAUGUGAUAUUUUACUUUUCCUCCUGGGAAGUCCUCGUGUUGCACCCCUUUUUAAAAAAAAAACCCUAGCGCCGCUCCCUUGCAGACAACCCUAGCGAAGUGAAGCUCGCUCGUUCGCCCAGGCGAACGAGCGAGCAAACCCAUGGAGAAGGAGACAUCUGACCGCGUGCGAAGGAAGAGAAGGGCAGCCUGACCGCGAGCGAAGUGAAGGACUGCCAGAGAGAGAAAUCGCGAGUGAAGGCCGCCGAGCGAAAUCGCGAUUGAAGGCCGGUCCCUUGAAGGCCGGUCAGCGAGCGAAAUCACGAGUGAAGGCCGGUCCCUGACCGCGAGCAAAGAAAUCCGCGAGUGAGCCCUGGCGGCGACCGAGAAAGAGAGACUGGAGGAGAGAGAGCGAGUGAGAGUGAGAAGUGGGGGAGCGAGCGAGGUCACCCCAGAUCAGCUGCACUCCACGCCCCUUGUCUCCAGAUCAGAUCCCCUCCUUUAACUCUUUUUUAACUGGAUCGAAUGACCUCGGCUCCACGCCUGAUUACAAGUGAGUGAACACCCAGUGACCGCGAGCGAGAACCCUCCGCGAGCAACAGUUCACCCACCUCCCGCAGGAUCACGUCCACUUCCGGAGAGCGACAAAUACAACUAUCAGAAGAUAGGAGGAAAUCUCGCUAUUGGUUUUUGACCUACAAGCCGAGGACUAGCACGCUACAUCUAUUCCAUACAUCUUAUCUAAUUUUAGUUGUUUACUUAAUUGGUUUUGUAAUCUCUUUAUUUUCUAUUUAAUCUAAAUCGCCUGAGAAAGAAAAAAAAAG